Molecule: long non-coding RNA, 502 nt
Organism: Mus musculus (house mouse)
Lineage: Eukaryota; Metazoa; Chordata; Mammalia; Rodentia; Muridae
Product: predicted gene, 31471
Exons: 3
Source: RefSeq, a predicted model, not a curated record
GUCCCUGGCUCUGACCUUUCGGUCUGCUUCCUGAUUCACCAUGAGGAGAAUAGCUUUCUGCUUGCUCCAUCACUGAGCUCUGCUGAGCUGCCGUGCCACGCCUCCCCCACCGGGAUUCACGAAGACAUUCCAAACCUGUUACCUGAUAUGAAAUCAAAUGAAUAUCUCUUUACCACCUCCCAAUGAAACUAGAAGGCUCUGGAUUUGAUACAACAUGACCUGUGGCAAAGGUCUUCAACCCAGAAGAAGUCUGUCCACUAUGGCUUCACGGACACACCAACAGCACUUGGAGAGUUCAUUUAUUUCCGUUGAUACUUCCUCUGCUUCUUCAAUGUCUCCAUUUUUGCUUUGCUUUAUGUUGACUUUUUAAGAAUUUACCAAUGGGGCUGGCAAGAUGGCUCAGCAGGUAGCAGAGUCCGAAUACUUGUGUCCCACCAGGACCCACGUGGUAGAAGGAAAGAACAGACUCCUGCCAGCUGUCCUCUGACUUUCAUAAGGGUGU